RNAcentral lists this ribosomal RNA (253 nucleotides) under uncultured bacterium. RNAcentral's name for it is "partial 16S ribosomal RNA". It matches the Rfam family "Bacterial small subunit ribosomal RNA", at positions 524 to 776 of the family's 1533-position model. The record is from RNAcentral.
UACGGAGGGAGCUAGCGUUGUUCGGAAUUACUGGGCGUAAAGCGCACGUAGGCGGCUUUGUAAGUUAGAGGUGAAAGCCCGGAGCUCAACUCCGGAAUUGCCUUUAAGACUGCAUCGCUCGAAUCCAGGAGAGGUGAGUGGAAUUCCGAGUGUAGAGGUGAAAUUCGUAGAUAUUCGGAAGAACACCAGUGGCGAAGGCGGCUCACUGGACCGGCAUUGACGCUGAGGUGCGAAAGCGUGGGGAGCAAACAGG